GUGGUGGCUCAGUGGUAGAGCACUCGCCUAGCAUGUGUGAGGAGGCACUGAGUUCAAUUCUCAGCACCACA
RNAcentral lists this transfer RNA (71 nucleotides) under Ictidomys tridecemlineatus (thirteen-lined ground squirrel). RNAcentral's name for it is "Spermophilus tridecemlineatus (thirteen-lined ground squirrel) tRNA". It matches the Rfam family "tRNA". From Rfam's summary of the family: Transfer RNA (tRNA) molecules are approximately 80 nucleotides in length. Their secondary structure includes four short double-helical elements and three loops (D, anti-codon, and T loops). The record is from Rfam by way of RNAcentral. Lineage: Eukaryota; Metazoa; Chordata; Mammalia; Rodentia; Sciuridae.